CCUACGGGAGGCAGCAGUGGGGAAUAUUGGACAAUGGGGGGAACCCUGAUCCAGCCAUGCCGCGUGUGUGAAGAAGGCCCUCGGGUUGUAAAGCACUUUCAGUGAGGAAGAACGCCUGGUGGUUAAUACCCAUCAGGAAAGACAUCACUCACAGAAGAAGCACCGGCUAACUCCGUGCCAGCAGCCGCGGUAAUACGGAGGGUGCGAGCGUUAAUCGGAAUUACUGGGCGUAAAGCGCGCGUAGGUGGCCUGAUAAGCCGGUUGUGAAAGCCCCGGGCUCAACCUGGGAACGGCAUCCGGAACUGUCAAGCUAGAGUGCAGGAGAGGAAGGUAGAAUUCCCGGUGUAGCGGUGAAAUGCGUAGAGAUCGGGAGGAAUACCAGUGGCGAAGGCGGCCUUCUGGACUGACACUGACACUGAGGUGCGAAAGCGUGGGUAGCAAACAGGAUUAGAUACCCGUGUAGUC
RNAcentral lists this ribosomal RNA (465 nucleotides) under Vreelandella stevensii. Its description in RNAcentral is "partial 16S ribosomal RNA". It matches the Rfam family "Bacterial small subunit ribosomal RNA", at positions 338 to 795 of the family's 1533-position model. The record is from RNAcentral. Lineage: Bacteria; Pseudomonadati; Pseudomonadota; Gammaproteobacteria; Oceanospirillales; Halomonadaceae.